This is a non-coding RNA of Bradyrhizobium yuanmingense, 118 nucleotides long. NCBI's taxonomy places the organism in Bacteria, Pseudomonadati, Pseudomonadota, Alphaproteobacteria, Hyphomicrobiales, Nitrobacteraceae. The record is from Rfam.
GGGGGCUGGCCCCCCGAGAUCGGCUUUCAGGAGCGGGUCUCAAACCAGUCCGAGCUGCUGCGGUAAAGAGCCGUGGUGGUGAGCGUCGGAUCAAAAGUUCGGAUUAAACCGAGCAGGU